AAAUUUAUAUAGGGUAAAUACUCAUCUAAUUACAACAAAUUCACACUUGACUGUUUAUAAUCACAUACGAAAACUAAUAUGUAAACAAUAAUUUUUUUAAGA
Non-coding RNA from Populus trichocarpa (black cottonwood), 102 nucleotides. NCBI's taxonomy places the organism in Eukaryota, Viridiplantae, Streptophyta, Magnoliopsida, Malpighiales, Salicaceae. The record is from Rfam.